UACGUAGGGUGCGAGCGUUGUCCGGAAUUACUGGGCGUAAAGAGCUCGUAGGUGGUUUGUCGCGUUGUUCGUGAAAUCUCACGGCUUAACUGUGAGCGUGCGGGCGAUACGGGCAGACUAGAGUACUGCAGGGGAGACUGGAAUUCCUGGUGUAGCGGUGGAAUGCGCAGAUAUCAGGAGGAACACCGGUGGCGAAGGCGGGUCUCUGGGCAGUAACUGACGCUGAGGAGCGAAAGCGUGGGGAGCGAACAGGAUUAGAUACCCUGGUAGUCCACGCCGUAAACGGUGGGUACUAGGUGUGGGUUUCCUUCCCUUGGGAUCCGUGCCGUAGCUAACGCAUUAAGUACCCCGCCUGGG
This 357-nucleotide ribosomal RNA is filed under the name uncultured Mycobacterium sp. RNAcentral's name for it is "bacterial SSU rRNA". It matches the Rfam family "Bacterial small subunit ribosomal RNA", at positions 524 to 877 of the family's 1533-position model. Lineage: Bacteria; Bacillati; Actinomycetota; Actinomycetes; Mycobacteriales; Mycobacteriaceae. The record is from RNAcentral.